Non-coding RNA from Schistosoma rodhaini, 75 nucleotides. The record is from Rfam. Lineage: Eukaryota; Metazoa; Platyhelminthes; Trematoda; Strigeidida; Schistosomatidae.
AACGUUCUGAAUCCGUGCCGAGAUUUCGUCAGACACCAGACCACCAGGACUGAUGAGACUCCCAAGUGCAGCGGU